This 65-nucleotide transfer RNA is filed under the name Fastosarion sarina. RNAcentral describes it as "tRNA-Val". The record is from RNAcentral. Lineage: Eukaryota; Metazoa; Mollusca; Gastropoda; Stylommatophora; Helicarionidae.
UUUAUAACUUAAGUAUAAUGUAUAUUUUAUUUACAAUGAUAAGGACUACUUUAAGUAGAAGUUAU